This 444-nucleotide long non-coding RNA is filed under the name Capra hircus (goat). RNAcentral's name for it is "lncRNA (ENSCHIG00000006960.1)". The record is from RNAcentral. Lineage: Eukaryota; Metazoa; Chordata; Mammalia; Artiodactyla; Bovidae.
GUCUUCUACUGUCCACUGCCAAACCAUGCAUCCUUGGGCUAAGUACUCCCCUCUCUGUUCCAGCUUCCACUUUUGUUGACUUACCAGCCAAAGAGGGGAUGUAUGAGUGUCUGUGGACACCUGGUGGCAGUUUAGAGGAAUUAAAACCAGGUCAUCAGAGAGUGGAGCUCUGUGUACAUUGCGCAGGAUUAGGAUCUGUCCUUUUUCUUCCCGUGUUUACCUCAGAGGACAUGAUUUCACAUGGAUAUAAACUGAAUCAUAUGUUAAAGGUCGUCCUUGAGGACCUUACUCUCCACACCAUCUGUUGUAAAUGUAUAGCACAAGUCUCACUGAAGCUGGGUGAAGUCACAUAGGCUUACAACUUAUACAAUAUGAUCGUCAGGGAUUGGGAAGGAGUGGUAGCAACUAUUGGGAAAUGAUAAAUUAUAUGAUUCCAAAUUCAAC